This 495-nucleotide ribosomal RNA is filed under the name uncultured bacterium. RNAcentral describes it as "partial 16S ribosomal RNA". It matches the Rfam family "Bacterial small subunit ribosomal RNA", at positions 28 to 507 of the family's 1533-position model. The record is from RNAcentral.
GACGAACGCUGGCGGCGUCCUUAACACAUGCAAGUCGAACGGAAAGGCCCUGCUUUUGUGGGGUGCUCAAGUGGCGAACGGGUGAGUAACACGUGGAUAACCUACCUAUAAGACUGGGAUAACUUCUGGAAACCGGAGCUAAUACCGGAUAAUAUAUUGAACCGAAUGGUUCAAUAGUGAAAAACGGUUUUGCUGUCACUUAUAGAUGGAUCCGCGCCGCAUUAGCUAGUUGGUAAGGUAACGGCUUACCAAGGCAACGAUGCGUAGCCGACCUGAGAGGGUGAUCGGCCACACUGGAACUGAGACACGGUCAAGACUCCUACGGGAGGCAGCAGUAGGGAAUCUUCCGCAAUGGGCGAAAGCCUGACGGAGCAACGCCGCGUGAGUGAUGAAGGUCUUCGGAUCGUAAAACUCUGUUAUUAGGGAAGAACAAAUGUGUAAGUAACUAUGCACGUCUUGACGGUACCUAAUCAGAAAGCCACGGCUAACUACGUG